AGAGUUUGAUCAUGGCUCAGGAUGAACGCUGGCGGCGUGCUUAACACAUGCAAGUCGAACGAACCUUCGGGUUAGUGGCGGACGGGUGAGUAACGCGUGAGAAUCUGCCCUCAGGAGGGGGAUAACGGCUGGAAACGGCCGCUAAUACCCCAUAUGCCGCGAGGUGAAACGAAUUUCGCCUGAGGAUGAGCUCGCGUCUGAUUAGCUAGUUGGUGGGGUAAAGGCCUACCAAGGCUUCGAUCAGUAGCUGGUCUGAGAGGAUGAUCAGCCACACUGGGACUGAGACACGGCCCAGACUCCUACGGGAGGCAGCAGUGGGGAAUUUUCCGCAAUGGGCGAAAGCCUGACGGAGCAACGCCGCGUGAGGGAUGAAGGCCUCUGGGCUGUAAACCUCUUUUAUCAAGGAAGAAGAUCUGACGGUACUUGAUGAAUAAGCCACGGCUAAUUCCGUGCCAGCAGCCGCGGUAAUACGGGAGUGGCAAGCGUUAUCCGGAAUUAUUGGGCGUAAAGCGUCCGCAGGCGGUCUUUUAAGUCUGCUGUUAAAGCGUGGAGCUUAACUCCAUUUCGGCAGUGGAAACUGGAAGACUAGAGUGUGGUAGGGGCAGAGGGAAUUCCCGGUGUAGCGGUGAAAUGCGUAGAUAUCGGGAAGAACACCAGUGGCGAAGGCGCUCUGCUGGGCCAUAACUGACGCUCAUGGACGAAAGCCAGGGGAGCGAAAGGGAUUAGAUACCCCUGUAGUCCUGGCCGUAAACGAUGAACACUAGGUGUCGGGGGAAUCGACCCCCUCGGUGUCGUAGCCAACGCGUUAAGUGUUCCGCCUGGGGAGUACGCACGCAAGUGUGAAACUCAAAGGAAUUGACGGGGGCCCGCACAAGCGGUGGAGUAUGUGGUUUAAUUCGAUGCAACGCGAAGAACCUUACCAGGGUUUGACAUCCUGCGAAUCCCUUGGAAACGAGGGAGUGCCUUCGGGAACGCAGUGACAGGUGGUGCAUGGCUGUCGUCAGCUCGUGUCGUGAGAUGUUGGGUUAAGUCCCGCAACGAGCGCAACCCACGUCGUUAGUUGCCAGCAUUCAGGUGGGCACUCUAGCGAGACCGCCGGUGAUAAACCGGAGGAAGGUGUGGAUGACGUCAAGUCAUCAUGCCCCUUACAUCCUGGGCUACACACGUACUACAAUGCUACGGACAAAGGGCAGCAAACUCGCGAGAGCUAGCAAAUCCCAUAAACCGUGGCUCAGUUCAGAUCGUAGGCUGCAACUCGCCUACGUGAAGGAGGAAUCGCUAGUAAUCGCAGGUCAGCAUACUGCGGUGAAUACGUUCCCGGGCCUUGUACACACCGCCCGUCACACCAUGGAAGUUGGCCACGCCCGAAGCCGUUACUCCAACCCUUGUGGAGGAGGAUGUCGAAGGUGGGGCUGAUGACUGGGGUGAAGUCGUAACAAGGUAACC
This 1446-nucleotide ribosomal RNA is filed under the name uncultured marine bacterium. RNAcentral describes it as "bacterial SSU rRNA". It matches the Rfam family "Bacterial small subunit ribosomal RNA". The record is from RNAcentral.